Molecule: ribosomal RNA, 440 nt
Filed under: uncultured bacterium
Lineage: Bacteria
Description: bacterial SSU rRNA
Rfam family: Bacterial small subunit ribosomal RNA
Source: RNAcentral
CCUACGGGGGGCUGCAGUGGGGAAUCGUACACAAUGGGCGCAAGCCUGAUGUCGCGACACCGCGUGGAGGAUGAAGGCUUUCGGGUCGUAAACUCCUUUUAUAGGGGACGAUGAUGACGGUACCCUAUGAAUAAGCGACGGCUAACUACGUGCCAGCAGCCGCGGUAAUACGUAGGUCGCAAGCGUUAUCCGGAAUUAUUGGGCGUAAAGAAUGCGUAGGUGGUUUGAUAAGUUGUCCGUUAAAGCUCCAGGCUCAACCUGGAAAUCGCGGACAAGACUGUUAGACUAGAGGAUAGCAGGGGCAAGUGGAAUUCCCGGUGUAGGAGUGAAAUCCGUUGAUAUCGGGAGGAACACCAAUGGCGAAGGCAGCUUGCUAGGUUAUCUCUGACACUGAGGCACGAAAGCGUGGGGAGCGAACGGGCUUAGAUACCCCGGUAGUC